UACGGAGGUGGCAAGCGUUGUUCGGAAUUACUGGGCGUAAAGGGCGCGUAGGCGGCAAGGCAAGUCAGGUGUGAAAGCCCCGAGCUUAACUCGGGAAUUGCAUCUGAAACUGCUGUGCUUGAGUUCUGGAGGGGUAGUGGAAUUCCCAGUGUAGCGGUGAAAUGCGUAGAUAUUGGGAGGAACACCUGCGGCGAAGGCGGCUACCUGGACCA
This 212-nucleotide ribosomal RNA is filed under the name uncultured bacterium. Its description in RNAcentral is "partial 16S ribosomal RNA". It matches the Rfam family "Bacterial small subunit ribosomal RNA", at positions 524 to 736 of the family's 1533-position model. The record is from RNAcentral.